This 571-nucleotide ribosomal RNA is filed under the name Martinezella tropici. RNAcentral describes it as "bacterial SSU rRNA". It matches the Rfam family "Bacterial small subunit ribosomal RNA", at positions 108 to 714 of the family's 1533-position model. The record is from RNAcentral. Lineage: Bacteria; Pseudomonadati; Pseudomonadota; Alphaproteobacteria; Hyphomicrobiales; Rhizobiaceae.
GAGUAACGCGUGGGAAUCUACCUUUUGCUACGGAAUAACGCAGGGAAACUUGUGCUAAUACCGUAUGUGUCCUUCGGGAGAAAGAUUUAUCGGCAAGAGAUGAGCCCGCGUUGGAUUAGCUAGUUGGUGGGGUAAAGGCCUACCAAGGCGACGAUCCUUAGCUGGUCUGAGAGGAUGAUCAGCCACAUUGGGACUGAGACACGGCCCAAACUCCUACGGGAGGCAGCAGUGGGGAAUAUUGAACAAUGGGCGCAAGCCUGAUCCAGCCAUGCCGCGUGAGUGAUGAAGGCCCUAAGGUUGUAAAGCUCUUUCACCGGAGAAGAUAAUGACGGUAUCCGGAUAAGAAGCCCCGGAUAACUUCGUGCCAGCAUCCGCGGUAAUACGAAGGGGGCUAGCGUUGUUCGAAAUUCCUGGGCGUAAAGCGCACGUAGGCGGAUCGAUCAGUCGGGGGUGAAAUCCCAGGGCUCAACCCUGGAACUGCCUUUGAUACUGUCGAUCUGGAGUAUGGAAGAUGUGAGUGGAAUUCCGAGUGUAGAGGUGAAAUUCAUAGAUAUUCGGAGGAACACCAGAG